Trichobilharzia regenti is the source of this 45-nucleotide non-coding RNA. Lineage: Eukaryota; Metazoa; Platyhelminthes; Trematoda; Strigeidida; Schistosomatidae. The record is from Rfam.
AUCCAGCUGACGAGUCCCAAAUAGGACGAGUUGCGCAUCCUGGAU